CACACAGAGCGAGGGAGAGAACAGAGUCUCUGCUGCUCUUUCCCCGCGUAUGCUCGCGGGUGAAUGAGGACUGCUCUUAUGUCAUAUGGUGAAGAAUCUUUUAGUUCUGCUCUGAAAUGCUGGAUCACAAUCGCAACCACAUGAAUAUGUGAGGUCACUGCAUUGACAUGAGGUCACUCUCUGGCUCCCUUGUCAUCAUCAGCACUGUGAGGAGUGCUUAUCAUCAGAAGGAGUACAGAUCACAGCACAGGCUAUGUGCAGGCAGGAUAGGAGGACCCAAAGUGCAGACUCGUGGAGGCAAACGUGAACUCAAAGUCAGCGUUUACUGCUGGACAGCGUUUAACAGAUGUAAUGAAGCAAUUUCAGAAUACUCUUUAAAUAUUGACUUUCAAUAAAAUGUAUUUAAAUCAUUGCGGCUGUUAUGUUUUCAUGUAAAUAUUUUUCAUGUAAAAUAUUUCUGUACACUCUCCCUGUUCUUUGAG
Long non-coding RNA from Astatotilapia calliptera (eastern happy), 482 nucleotides. NCBI's taxonomy places the organism in Eukaryota, Metazoa, Chordata, Actinopteri, Cichliformes, Cichlidae. The record is from Ensembl.